Molecule: ribosomal RNA, 1498 nt
Filed under: Lacticaseibacillus casei
Lineage: Bacteria; Bacillati; Bacillota; Bacilli; Lactobacillales; Lactobacillaceae
Description: bacterial SSU rRNA
Rfam family: Bacterial small subunit ribosomal RNA
Source: RNAcentral
AUGACGCUGGCGGCGUGCCUAAUACAUGCAAGUCGAACGAGUUCUCGUUGAUGAUCGGUGCUUGCACCGAGAUUCAACAUGGAACGAGUGGCGGACGGGUGAGUAACACGUGGGUAACCUGCCCUUAAGUGGGGGAUAACAUUUGGAAACAGAUGCUAAUACCGCAUAGAUCCAAGAACCGCAUGGUUCUUGGCUGAAAGAUGGCGUAAGCUAUCGCUUUUGGAUGGACCCGCGGCGUAUUAGCUAGUUGGUGAGGUAAUGGCUCACCAAGGCGAUGAUACGUAGCCGAACUGAGAGGUUGAUCGGCCACAUUGGGACUGAGACACGGCCCAAACUCCUACGGGAGGCAGCAGUAGGGAAUCUUCCACAAUGGACGCAAGUCUGAUGGAGCAACGCCGCGUGAGUGAAGAAGGCUUUCGGGUCGUAAAAACUCUGUUGUUGGAGAAGAAUGGUCGGCAGAGUAACUGUUGUCGGCGUGACGGUAUCCAACCAGAAAGCCACGGCUAACUACGUGCCAGCAGCCGCGGUAAUACGUAGGUGGCAAGCGUUAUCCGGAUUUAUUGGGCGUAAAGCGAGCGCAGGCGGUUUUUUAAGUCUGAUGUGAAAGCCCUCGGCUUAACCGAGGAAGCGCAUCGGAAACUGGGAAACUUGAGUGCAGAAGAGGACAGUGGAACUCCAUGUGUAGCGGUGAAAUGCGUAGAUAUAUGGAAGAACACCAGUGGCGAAGGCGGCUGUCUGGUCUGUAACUGACGCUGAGGCUCGAAAGCAUGGGUAGCGAACAGGAUUAGAUACCCUGGUAGUCCAUGCCGUAAACGAUGAAUGCUAGGUGUUGGAGGGUUUCCGCCCUUCAGUGCCGCAGCUAACGCAUUAAGCAUUCCGCCUGGGGAGUACGACCGCAAGGUUGAAACUCAAAGGAAUUGACGGGGGCCCGCACAAAGCGGUGGAGCAUGUGGUUUAAUUCGAAGCAACGCGAAGAACCUUACCAGGUCUUGACAUCUUUUGAUCACCUGAGAGAUCAGGUUUCCCCUUCGGGGGCAAAAUGACAGGUGGUGCAUGGUUGUCGUCAGCUCGUGUCGUGAGAUGUUGGGUUAAGUCCCGCAACGAGCGCAACCCUUAUGACUAGUUGCCAGCAUUUAGUUGGGCACUCUAGUAAGACUGCCGGUGACAAACCGGAGGAAGGUGGGGAUGACGUCAAAUCAUCAUGCCCCUUAUGACCUGGGCUACACACGUGCUACAAUGGAUGGUACAACGAGUUGCGAGACCGCGAGGUCAAGCUAAUCUCUUAAAGCCAUUCUCAGUUCGGACUGUAGGCUGCAACUCGCCUACACGAAGUCGGAAUCGCUAGUAAUCGCGGAUCAGCACGCCGCGGUGAAUACGUUCCCGGGCCUUGUACACACCGCCCGUCACACCAUGAGAGUUUGUAACACCCGAAGCCGGUGGCGUAACCCUUUUAGGGAGCGAGCCGUCUAAGGUGGGACAAAUGAUUAGGGGAAGUCGA